RNAcentral lists this ribosomal RNA (300 nucleotides) under uncultured Macrococcus sp. RNAcentral describes it as "bacterial SSU rRNA". It matches the Rfam family "Bacterial small subunit ribosomal RNA", at positions 496 to 795 of the family's 1533-position model. The record is from RNAcentral. Lineage: Bacteria; Bacillati; Bacillota; Bacilli; Caryophanales; Staphylococcaceae.
GCUAGAGCCGUGACAUGGGGAACGUGAAUACGGAGGAUGCAAGCGGUAUCCGGAAUCAUUGGGUUUAAAUGGUCCGUAGGCGGCAUUAUAAGUCAGAGGUGAAAGUUUUUGGCUUAACCAAAAAAUUGCCAUUGAUACUGUAGGGCUUGAAUAUUUGUGAAGUAACUAGAAUAUGUAGUGUAGCGGUGAAAUGCAUAGAUAGUACAUGGAAUACCAAUUGCGAAGGCAGGUUACUAACAAAUGAUUGACGCUGAUGGACGAAAGCGUGGGUAGCGAACAGGAUUAGAUAGCCUAUUAGUC